GAUGCGACCUCAGCUCAGGCGGGGCUACCCGCUGAGUUUAAGCAUAUCAAUAAGCGGAGGAAAAGAAC
This 68-nucleotide ribosomal RNA is filed under the name Plagiosiphon emarginatus. RNAcentral describes it as "partial 26S ribosomal RNA". It matches the Rfam family "Eukaryotic large subunit ribosomal RNA", at positions 1 to 64 of the family's 3401-position model. The record is from RNAcentral. Lineage: Eukaryota; Viridiplantae; Streptophyta; Magnoliopsida; Fabales; Fabaceae. RNAcentral also lists the same sequence under 1 other name.